AGUGAACGCUGGCGGUAGGCCUAACACAUGCAAGUCGAACGGCAGCACAUUAAGAGUUUGCUCUUACGGGUUGCGUGUGGCGUACGGGUUAUGCAUACAUCGCUGUCUUCUUUUUCGUGGUGCUUUACGUAGGGAAACUUCCGCUAAUACCUCAUACGACCUACGUUUGAUAGCAUGGUAUCUUCUGACCUUGCGCGAUUGAAUGAUCCGAUGUCUGAUUAGUUCGUUGGCGGGGUAAAGGCCCACCAAGCCGACGAUCAGUAGCUGGUCUGAGAGGAUGAUCAGCAACACUGGAACGGAGACAAGGUCCAGACUCCUAAGGGAGGCAGCAGUGGGGAAUAUUGGACAAUGAGCGCAAGCCUGAUCCAGACAUACCGCGUGGGUGAAGAAGGCCUUCGGGUUGUAAAGCACUUUUGUUGGGAAAGAAAAGCAGCAGGUUAAUAACCCGAUGUUAUGACGGUACCCAAAGAAUAAGCACCGGCUAACUUCGUG
This 492-nucleotide ribosomal RNA is filed under the name uncultured bacterium. RNAcentral's name for it is "partial 16S ribosomal RNA". It matches the Rfam family "Bacterial small subunit ribosomal RNA", at positions 29 to 507 of the family's 1533-position model. The record is from RNAcentral.